GCACUUUGAAGAGAGAGUUAAAGAGGACGUGAAACCGGUGAGGUAGAAACGGAUAGAGCUAGCGUAUCGGGCCGGCAUUCACUUGCGAGGUCGGCGCGCGCUCUGGCUUCGCUCUCCAGAUUGGGACGGAGUUGGAGUUGUACCCGGCCGAGCAGUGCAUUUGUUGGUGUGUGCGCUGAGCAGCCCGAGGCGGCGGCAUGCACUUGUUUUUGCGGCCAACUUGUUUGGAACCCAGAGCAGGCUAGUGCUGUUCGCCUUGGGCAUUGUUUGGCAUGGCCUACGGGCUUUGGUGGUUCCCGAGUGAGCAGUGGGAAGCGGUCGCAUGCGACACGUGCCUGUUGUUUGCUUGGUGCUGCCAAUGGUCCUCAUGCCCACGCUCAGUGUAAGAGCUGGUCAUCUAUCCGACCCGUCUUGAAACACGGACCAAGGAGUUUAUCGUGUGCGCAAGCCAUUGGGCGUUGAAAACCCAAAGGCGCAAUGAAAGUGAAUGUGUCCGCAAGGAACUGACAUGCUAUCCCCGGUGCUUCGGCUCCGGGGCGCAGCGUGGCCCCAUCCUGAUUGCUUGCAAUGGGGUGGAGGAAGAGCGUAUGCGACGAGACCCGAAAGAUGGUGAACUAUUCCUGAGCAGGAUGAAGCCAGAGGAAACUCUGGUGGAAGUCCGAAGCGAUUCUGACGUGCAAAUCGAUCGUCUGANUU
This 696-nucleotide ribosomal RNA is filed under the name Pratylenchus flakkensis. RNAcentral's name for it is "eukaryotic LSU rRNA". It matches the Rfam family "Eukaryotic large subunit ribosomal RNA", at positions 371 to 912 of the family's 3401-position model. The record is from RNAcentral. Lineage: Eukaryota; Metazoa; Nematoda; Chromadorea; Rhabditida; Pratylenchidae.